UACGAAGGGUGCAAGCGUUGUUCGGAUUUAUUGGGCGUAAAGCGCGCGCAGGCGGAUUUUUAAGUCAGGUGUGAAAUCUCGAGGCUUAACCUCGAAACAGCGCCUGAAACUGGAAGUCUUGAAUGCUGGAGAGGGAAGGGGAAUUUCUCGUGUAGGGGUAAAAUCCGUAGAUAUGAGAAGGAACACCAGAGGCGAAGGCGCCUUCCUGGCCAGAUAUUGACGCUGAGGCGCGAAAGCGUGGGGAGCAAACAGGAUUAGAUACCCUGGUAGUCCACGCCGUAAACGAUGAGAACUAGUUGUGGUGGGAGUUAACCCCUGCUGUAACGUAGCAAACGCGUUAAGUUCUCCGCCUGGGAAGUACGGUCGCAAGACUA
RNAcentral lists this ribosomal RNA (374 nucleotides) under uncultured bacterium. RNAcentral's name for it is "bacterial SSU rRNA". It matches the Rfam family "Bacterial small subunit ribosomal RNA", at positions 524 to 896 of the family's 1533-position model. The record is from RNAcentral.